GGGUCGUUAGCUCAGUUGGUAGAGCAUCGGAUUUUUAAUCCGGUGGCCACAGGUUCAAAUCCUGUACGACCCA
Molecule: transfer RNA, 73 nt
Filed under: subsurface metagenome
Description: tRNA-Lys
Rfam family: tRNA
About the family: Transfer RNA (tRNA) molecules are approximately 80 nucleotides in length. Their secondary structure includes four short double-helical elements and three loops (D, anti-codon, and T loops).
Source: RNAcentral